UUAAUACAACUUUCAACAACGGAUCUCUUGGCUCUCGCAUCGAUGGAAGAACGCAGCGAAAUGCGAUAAGUAAUGUGAAUUGCAGAUUUUCAGUGAAUCAUCGAAUCUUUGAACGCACCUUGCGCUCCUUGGUAUUCCGAGGAGCAUGCCUGUUUGAGUGUCAUUAAAUUCUCAACC
This 177-nucleotide ribosomal RNA is filed under the name Athelia sp. TMB. RNAcentral's name for it is "5.8S ribosomal RNA". The stretch from base 8 to 163 matches the Rfam family "5.8S ribosomal RNA". Rfam says of the family: 5.8S ribosomal RNA (5.8S rRNA) is a component of the large subunit of the eukaryotic ribosome. The record is from RNAcentral. Lineage: Eukaryota; Fungi; Basidiomycota; Agaricomycetes; Atheliales; Atheliaceae.